UACGAAGGGUGCAAGCGUUAAUCGGAAUUACUGGGCGUAAAGCGCGCGUAGGUGGUUGAUUAAGUUGGAAGUGAAAUCCCCGGGCUCAACCUGGGAACUGCUUUCAAAACUGAUCGACUAGAGUACGGUAGAGGGUAGUGGAAUUUCCUGUGUAGCGGUGAAAUGCGUAGAUAUAGGAAGGAACACCAGUGGCGAAGGCGACUACCUGGACUGAUACUGACACUGAGGUGCGAAAGCGUGGGGAGCAAAC
This 250-nucleotide ribosomal RNA is filed under the name uncultured bacterium. Its description in RNAcentral is "partial 16S ribosomal RNA". It matches the Rfam family "Bacterial small subunit ribosomal RNA", at positions 524 to 773 of the family's 1533-position model. The record is from RNAcentral.